AACGAACGCUGGCGGCAUGCCUAACACAUGCCAGUCGAACGAGACCUUCGGGUCUAGUGGCGCACGGGUGCGUAACGCGUGGGAACCUGCCCUUAGGUUCGGAAUAACUCCCCGAAAGGGGUGCUAAUACCGGAUAAUGUCUUCGGACCAAAGAUUUAUCGCCUUUGGAUGGGCCCGCGUUGGAUUAGCUAGUUGGUAGGGUAAAAGCCUACCAAGGCGACGAUCCAUAGCUGGUCUGAGAGGAUGAUCAGCCACACUGGGACUGAGACACGGCCCAGACUCCUACGGGAGGCAGCGGUGGGGAAUAUUGGACAAUGGGCGAAAGCCUGAUCCAGCAAUGCCGCGUGAGUGAUGAAGGCCUUAGGGUUGUAAAGCUCUUUUACCCGGGAUGAUAAUGACAGUACCGGGAGAAUAAGCACCGGCUAACUCCGUG
This 433-nucleotide ribosomal RNA is filed under the name uncultured bacterium. RNAcentral describes it as "partial 16S ribosomal RNA". It matches the Rfam family "Bacterial small subunit ribosomal RNA", at positions 29 to 507 of the family's 1533-position model. The record is from RNAcentral.